This 491-nucleotide ribosomal RNA is filed under the name uncultured bacterium. Its description in RNAcentral is "partial 16S ribosomal RNA". It matches the Rfam family "Bacterial small subunit ribosomal RNA", at positions 29 to 506 of the family's 1533-position model. The record is from RNAcentral.
AGUGAACGCUGGCGGUAGGCCUAACACAUGCAAGUCGAACGGCAGCACAGUAAGAGCUUGCUCUUACGGGUGGCGAGUGGCGGACGGGUGAGGAAUACAUCGGAAUCUACUUUUUCGUGGGGGAUAACGUAGGGAAACUUACGCUAAUACCGCAUACGACCUACGGGUGAAAGCAGGGGAUCUUCGGACCUUGCGCGAUUGAAUGAGCCGAUGUCGGAUUAGCUAGUUGGCGGGGUAAAGGCCCACCAAGGCGACGAUCCGUAGCUGGUCUGAGAGGAUGAUCAGCCCAACUGGAACUGAGACACGGUCCAGACUCCUACGGGAGGCAGCAGUGGGGAAUAUUGGACAAGGGGGGCAAGCCUGAUCCAGCCAUACCGCGUGGGUAAAGAAGGCUUUCGGGUUGUAAAGCCCUUUUGUUGGGAAAAAAAAGCAGCAGGUUAAAACCCCGCUGUUCGGGCGGUACCAAAAAAAUAAGCACCGGCUAACUUCGU